AUGAACGCUGGCGGCGUGCCUAAUACAUGCAAGUCGAGCGAACGGACGAGAAGCUUGCUUCUCUGAUGUUAGCGGCGGACGGGUGAGUAACACGUGGAUAACCUACCUAUAAGACUGGGAUAACUUCGGGAAACCGGAGCUAAUACCGGAUAAUAUUUUGAACCGCAUGGUUCAAAAGUGAAAGACGGUCUUGCUGUCACUUAUAGAUGGAUCCGCGCUGCAUUAGCUAGUUGGUAAGGUAACGGCUUACCAAGGCAACGAUGCAUAGCCGACCUGAGAGGGUGAUCGGCCACACUGGAACUGAGUCACGGUCCAGACUCCUACGGGAGGCAGCAGUAGGGAAUCUUCCGCAAUGGGCGAAAGCCUGACGGAGCAACGCCGCGUGAGUGAUGAAGGUCUUCGGAUCGUAAAACUCUGUUAUUAGGGAAGAACAUAUGUGUAAGUAACUGUGCACAUCUUGACGGUACCUAAUCAGAAAGCCACGGCUAACUACGUG
This 496-nucleotide ribosomal RNA is filed under the name uncultured bacterium. Its description in RNAcentral is "partial 16S ribosomal RNA". It matches the Rfam family "Bacterial small subunit ribosomal RNA", at positions 29 to 507 of the family's 1533-position model. The record is from RNAcentral.